GACGAACGCUGGCGGCGUGCUUAACACAUGCAAGUCGAGCGGUAAGGCCCUUUCGGGGGUACACGAGCGGCGAACGGGUGAGUAACACGUGGGUGACCUGCCCUUAGCUCUGGGAUAAGCCUGGGAAACUGGGUCUAAUACCGGAUAUGACUCCAUGACGCAUGUUGUGGGGUGGAAAGCCUUGUGCGGCUAGGGAUGGGCCCGCGGCCUAUCAGCUUGUUGGUGGGGUGAUGGCCUACCAAGGCGACGACGGGUAGCCGGCCUGAGAGGGCGACCGGCCACACUGGGACUGAGACACGGCCCAGACUCCUACGGGAGGCAGCAGUGGGGAAUCUUGCGCAAUGGGCGAAAGCCUGACGCAGCGACGCCGCGCGAGGGAUGACGGCCUCGG
RNAcentral lists this ribosomal RNA (391 nucleotides) under uncultured bacterium. RNAcentral's name for it is "bacterial SSU rRNA". It matches the Rfam family "Bacterial small subunit ribosomal RNA", at positions 28 to 420 of the family's 1533-position model. The record is from RNAcentral.